This 63-nucleotide non-coding RNA is filed under the name Corynebacterium renale. Its description in RNAcentral is "L31-Corynebacteriaceae ribosomal protein leader". It matches the Rfam family "L31-Corynebacteriaceae ribosomal protein leader". Lineage: Bacteria; Bacillati; Actinomycetota; Actinomycetes; Mycobacteriales; Corynebacteriaceae. The record is from RNAcentral.
ACUCAGGCACGAUUCACGCGGUGUAACCGCGUGGAAGCGACCUGAAGUAUCAAACCUGAGGGA